GGAAAGGCGGGGCAGGAGGAGGUGGGAAUGGGUAGGGGGCAAGCGUGGUCCGGAGUUACGUGGCGUAAAGAGGGGGCAGGCGGGCGUGCAAGGGUGGGGGGAAAGACCCCGGCUCAACUGGGGAGGGUCACGCGAUACUGAUCGACGCGAAGGCAGGAGAGGGUAGUGGAAUUCCCGGUGUAGUGGUGAAAUGCGUAGAUAUCGGGAGGAACACCAGUGGCGAAGGCGACUACCUGGCCUGUUCUUGACGCUGAGGCGCGAAAGCUAGGGGAGCAAACGGGAUUAGAUACCCCAGUAGUC
This 300-nucleotide ribosomal RNA is filed under the name uncultured Corynebacterium sp. RNAcentral describes it as "bacterial SSU rRNA". The stretch from base 52 to 300 matches the Rfam family "Bacterial small subunit ribosomal RNA", at positions 547 to 795 of the family's 1533-position model. The record is from RNAcentral. Lineage: Bacteria; Bacillati; Actinomycetota; Actinomycetes; Mycobacteriales; Corynebacteriaceae.